Non-coding RNA from Parelaphostrongylus tenuis, 73 nucleotides. Lineage: Eukaryota; Metazoa; Nematoda; Chromadorea; Rhabditida; Metastrongylidae. The record is from the annotation of a GenBank genome assembly.
GCGUCGAUAGUGCAACGGCUCAGCACGCGCCACCGGAUAUGCUGAAAUGUGGGUUCGAAUCCCAGCCGACGCA